AAGAGUGCACCCGCUGCGGCAAACCGCUGCCGCUAUGCAUCUGCGACAGCGUCACCCCGAUCCGCAACCGGAUCGAACUGCUGAUCCUGCAGCAUCCGCAGGAGCAGGACAGGGCGCUUGGCACCGCGCGGCUGACCGCGCAACAUUUCGAGAAGGUGACUCACAAGAUCGGAUUGUCCUGGCCGAGCCUGUCGAAGGCUUUGGGCCGCUCCGUCGAUCCGCAGGACUGGGCCAUCCUCUAUCUCGGAUCGGCGAAGGUCGCAGACCU
RNAcentral lists this unclassified non-coding RNA (268 nucleotides) under Hevea brasiliensis (rubber tree). The record is from RNAcentral. Lineage: Eukaryota; Viridiplantae; Streptophyta; Magnoliopsida; Malpighiales; Euphorbiaceae.